AACCAGCACCUCAAGUGGUCAGGAUGAUUAUUGGGCCUAAAGCAUCCGUAGCCUGUUCUGUAAGUUUUCGGUUAAAUCUAUGCGCUCAACGUAUAGGCUGCCGAAAAUACUGCAGAACUAGGGAGUGGGAGAGGUAGACGGUACUCGGUAGGAAGGGGUAAAAUCCUGUCAUCCUGAGCGGACCACCUGUUGCGAAGGCGCCACACUAGAACGGAUCCGACGGUCAGGGACGAAGCCUAGGGGCACGAACCGG
RNAcentral lists this ribosomal RNA (253 nucleotides) under uncultured archaeon. Its description in RNAcentral is "partial 16S ribosomal RNA". It matches the Rfam family "Archaeal small subunit ribosomal RNA", at positions 474 to 727 of the family's 1478-position model. The record is from RNAcentral.